ACCUUUGUCCAAUCUCUGAUUACAGGACUGUGACUAGUUGCAACAUUAAAAAGCAUAACUGGGCCCCAAUGUCUAUGGGGUUGUGUUAUCCAUGGUCACCAUCUUCUGAAUGACAUCAAGCUUUGGUAUUGAUUGUAAAUUUAGUCCAAUUUGAGAUCACUGAUGGGAAUUU
Amblyraja radiata (thorny skate) is the source of this 172-nucleotide long non-coding RNA. RefSeq lists it as uncharacterized. The record is from RefSeq and is a predicted model, not a curated record. The transcript is spliced from 3 exons. NCBI's taxonomy places the organism in Eukaryota, Metazoa, Chordata, Chondrichthyes, Rajiformes, Rajidae.